UGCUCGUGAUUUAUUGUUAUUUAAUGUUGUGCUGUCCAAAUAAUCUGAGUUUAUCCACAUCUCUGAGGAUGUGUACAGGUUUUGUUUGCUUGGAUGGUUUUACAAGGAUUAAAGCAGCAUUUCCAAAACACUCCACACACUCACACACGUACAUACAUAUGUGAUAUUCAUGUUAACAAUUUACUUCUUGGAGGGAAGAAACCAGUGCUUUCUCUAUCCAGUUCUCCUGGAGGUUGCCUCAGAUAUAUCCAAUCCAGAUCAGACCUUAUCAUACUGUGUUUCAGUUCACUGCCACCAUAUGUAAGUGUUGUCAAGGCUAUAAUAUAUAAAGUAUCUGGCUCCAGGGCUGGUUUCACUGUGGUUUUGGAAUACAGAUUUUAUAAUAUGCAGUUUCCUUCCUCUGAAGUCAAUGGGCUAUUCAGUGGAAUAAGGUUACCAAGGCACAGGUCAAAUCUUCAAAGGCACAUAGGCACCCAAAUCCUGUUUAAGGAUAUUCUGCUGAUUUGAAGCGAGGUGCCUGCCUGAUCCCCUCCAAAGGUGGGGGAAUUCCCCAGGCCAUAGCUAGAGCCUGUUUAAACAGUCGCUGAGGCUCUCACAGGCAAUCUCAUGACUACAUGUCCCCUAGCCUUACUGCGAGGCCACCAACAUAAG
Molecule: long non-coding RNA, 651 nt
Filed under: Anas platyrhynchos platyrhynchos (common mallard)
Lineage: Eukaryota; Metazoa; Chordata; Aves; Anseriformes; Anatidae
Description: lncRNA (ENSAPLG00000018387.1)
Source: RNAcentral